UGCCCUUGUAGCUCAGUGGUAGAGCACUCCCUUGGUAAGGGAGAGGUCCCGGGUUCAAAUCCCGGCGAGGGCAU
This 74-nucleotide transfer RNA is filed under the name Prochlorococcus sp. MIT 1303. RNAcentral's name for it is "tRNA-Thr". It matches the Rfam family "tRNA". Rfam says of the family: Transfer RNA (tRNA) molecules are approximately 80 nucleotides in length. Their secondary structure includes four short double-helical elements and three loops (D, anti-codon, and T loops). RNAcentral also lists the same sequence under 6 other names. Lineage: Bacteria; Bacillati; Cyanobacteriota; Cyanophyceae; Synechococcales; Prochlorococcaceae. The record is from RNAcentral.